AGCGAACGGAGGGAGUGAAAGAAACGCGCUUUCGCGAAGUGCGCUGCCGCGCAUUUUCCGUCAACCUGGAGCAUGAAAAUUACAAGCUGGGGGUGAGGAUUUCUGAGUUUAACGUAUGGAGGUAUAAUGAAACUUGGCUGCUGAGUGGCACCAUGACACCGGACGCAGCUGCAGAUGUCUUCGCCUGAUUCCAAACUGCGCGGGGGGUCAAGGCACUACUGUCCUCAGUGCCACGGCAAGCCAGACCCACAUCAUCAAGCAGUCACUGGAACACCGGCACAGAGCUAGAGGCCGCUCCCGUGACGACCAUUGUCGCGACUAUCAUGACCACUCCCGCGACUAUCGUGACAAACCCCCGCGACAACCACUGUCAAACUGUAAAUGAAGCUGUGAUAAACCUAAGUGGAAGCACGCAUUCGCGAACAGUGCCGACUCGGAACAUACUGAAGCCAACAUUUUGAUUUUCU
Molecule: long non-coding RNA, 467 nt
Filed under: Scleropages formosus (Asian bonytongue)
Lineage: Eukaryota; Metazoa; Chordata; Actinopteri; Osteoglossiformes; Osteoglossidae
Description: lncRNA (ENSSFOG00015029141.1)
Source: RNAcentral